This 482-nucleotide ribosomal RNA is filed under the name uncultured bacterium. Its description in RNAcentral is "partial 16S ribosomal RNA". It matches the Rfam family "Bacterial small subunit ribosomal RNA", at positions 30 to 507 of the family's 1533-position model. The record is from RNAcentral.
AUUGAACGCUGGCGGCAUGCCUUACACAUGCAAGUCGAACGGUAACAGGUCUUCGGAUGCUGACGAGUGGCGAACGGGUGAGUAAUACAUCGGAACGUGCCCGAUCGUGGGGGAUAACGGAGCGAAAGCUUUGCUAAUACCGCAGACGAUCUACGGAUGAAAGCAGGGGACCGCAAGGCCUUGCGCGGACGGAGCGGCCGAUGGCAGAUUAGGUAGUUGGUGGGAUAAAAGCUUACCAAGCCGACGAUCUGUAGCUGGUCUGAGAGGACGACCAGCCACACUGGGACUGAGACACGGCCCAGACUCCUACGGGAGGCAGCAGUGGGGAAUUUUGGACAAUGGGCGAAAGCCUGAUCCAGCCAUGCCGCGUGCAGGAUGAAGGCCUUCGGGUUGUAAACUGCUUUUGUACGGAACGAAAAGACUCUUUCUAAUAAAGAGGGUCCAUGACGGUACCGUAAGAAUAAGCACCGGCUAACUACGUG